RNAcentral lists this ribosomal RNA (483 nucleotides) under uncultured bacterium. Its description in RNAcentral is "partial 16S ribosomal RNA". It matches the Rfam family "Bacterial small subunit ribosomal RNA", at positions 30 to 506 of the family's 1533-position model. The record is from RNAcentral.
AUUGAACGCUGGCGGCAGGCCUAACACAUGCAAGUCGAGCGGAUGAAGGGAGCUUGCUCCUGGAUUCAGCGGCGGACGGGUGAGUAAUGCCUAGGAAUCUGCCUGGUAGUGGGGGAUAACGUCCGGAAACGGGCGCUAAUACCGCAUACGUCCUGAGGGAGAAAGUGGGGGAUCUUCGGACCUCACGCUAUCAGAUGAGCCUAGGUCGGAUUAGCUAGUUGGUGGGGUAAAGGCCUACCAAGGCGACGAUCCGUAACUGGUCUGAGAGGAUGAUCAGUCACCUGGGAACUGAGACACGGUCCAACCUCCUAGGGGAGGCAGAAGGGGGGAAUUUUGGACAAGGGGCGAAAGCCUGAUCCAGCCAGGCCGGGGGUGGGAAGAAGGUUUUCGGAUUGUAAAGCAUUUUAAGUUGGGAGGAAGGGAAGUAAGUUAAUACCUUGCUGUUUGGGCGUUACCAACAGAAAAAGCACCGGCUAACUUCGU